CUUCUAGCUGGAAGUUCAGAAGCCUGUGUCUCUGGGAAGGCAGAUGGCUCCUGGGUGGGGCUGGCCAGAGGAAGGCCAGCCUUCCCCAAUCUACUUGUGGGAAUCAGAAUCCUUUGUCUGCUGGAGCAAGAACUAGUUCCCUCCUUAUUUAUUCCAGCCUUUUCUUUCCAUUUUUUAUUAGUUUACCUAUGUGUUCUAUUGGAAGUUGAGGUUCAGAAAUUCCUGAUGCAAAGCAUAACUUCUUGUUUGUAUGACCUGGAGUGCCCUGAGUCCACUGAAAAUUCAGGAGGGAGAAGACAGAAAUAACAAACGAAUGGUCUGUCAUUUCUCAGGUGCACAGAAUAUACCUGAACCAUCAAGUCAGGUAGUACACAGCAGAGUAUGUUUUGCUAUCAAUUAUAUUUUGGGACUAUUUCCACUGUGCAGAGGCCUGUCACCAGAAAAAAAGGAUGAACACUGACUGUGAACACUGACUGUCAAGAUAUGUGUUCUCAAUGGCACUUUACAUCCAGAAAUGCACAAGUGCUUCAUGUGCUUCAGCUCUCACAGUACUACCUGCACAUAAAGACGGGGAAAUGGAGGAAUCAGAGGCAUUGCCUCAGGUCCCCUGCUCUGAAUUCCAGUUUCUGUUCACCCCUCCAGGAGUCAAAAAGGCAAAUGGAGAAGACAGCUUGUAGGCACACAAACAACAUCCUGGUUUUGACAGCUGCCACGUGCUGCCAAACACUCAGCCUGAUGCAUUUGCAACCAUCUGACGUGCGUGAACAACACCAGUUCUGCAGUCCUGCUCCUCUAGUUACAGCACUAGUCCCUGGAGCUUUGAAAAUACUGAAGGAUUUUGGUGAACAAGGACCUUCCUGGCCAUGCUGGCUGCAAGCUGGUCACACCUGGAGAAUAAAUAAAAACAUUGUGGCAUCCCCAGUCUUUUGGUACAGCUGGUUGUUUUAAUGAAUUCAGCAUCUCCCAUUAAAAAAAAUCAUACACAGUGCCCCAGGAAAUUCAGUUGCAUUUAUAAAUCUGGGGAUUAGCCUGCUGUAAAUACACCAGACACAGCAGUCAAACUAAACGUUGAAAGGCAAUGCUGUACCAUUACUGCAUUAAUUCACCGAGCUCAUCAGUAUUUUAAUCACCAGAUCUGGGUGACUUUUCACAACCACGUAAUUAUUAAAGCUCAGUGGGAUUCCUUAUAUCUAUUGACACUUUAUUCAGGAAGCAAAUGUUUUGCAGCAACAAUAGAUUUAUUUCCUACAGCUGUCAAAUGUUGACAGCAAUACAUACUAAUGUUUCUGAGGAGGAGCUGUUCCUCCUAUCUGGAGUGCAAAGGGCAUCUCAGAACUGCAGCCUGCAGCUCAGCAAGGCUAAGAAGCAGAUUCUGACAUUAAGAAAUUAAAAGCUAACUCAUGUUUCUCAUGGCCUGGAUAAGCCAUAGCUCACUUUCAGCCUCCCUUUACACUGAAUGUGCCAGCUGGAGUGGCUCAGGUUAGUGCAGGGAUGUGAGGAGGAAAGGCACAGGGACAGGUCUGUGUGCUCAGCUGCUCCCGAGUGCUGCCCAGUGCCUCAGCUCUGCUGUGUCCGCUGGAGGUACCAUCAGACGGAGGUGCCAUCAGGCUGAGGAGGAGGACAGAGAACACAGAAGAUGCUCUGGGAUGGCAACAUCAUGCAGUGCCUUGUCCAAGCCCUGGAGGUAAGACACGGUAAU
Molecule: long non-coding RNA, 1699 nt
Organism: Cyanistes caeruleus (blue tit)
Lineage: Eukaryota; Metazoa; Chordata; Aves; Passeriformes; Paridae
Source: Ensembl